UGUUCCUAACAUACCACUGCAUGACCCAAAGUGCAUCACACAGCCAUUGCCCAGCACAGUGUCCCAAGUGCAUCCCAGCACCCAUGUUACAAAGGGCAUUGCCACACAGCGCACAGCUGCAUUCUGGAGGCAAACUAUUUUUUAUUGGCUUUAAAUGAUUUCUUAACAUGUGAUCUGCUGUUUCAUAGGUGUCCUCUUGCCAUCUGAGUACAUAGGUGAGAACAACAGACUGAGAGAUAAUUAUGUUACCAGUGCUAAAAAUGACUGUUCUCAACCAAUUCCAAGCAGCACAUGGAUCAUUAAUUUCAUUCAUCUUUAGCAAAGAACUCUGUCCUGACUGUUGGAAAAACUAUAUAAAGCAAUGAAAGUGCAGUAGUAAGAGGAGCAGAUACAGUGGCUGUACCAGGUACAGCGAGAGAAUAUUUUGUCUACAGAAGCUCCUGUUGAACCCUUGUUUGCCUAUGGAAUGGAACCCAGUGACGGUGGCGCUUUGACAUUUACACUUUUCUUCUGUAAAUACCCUCGAGGCAGUGAAACAGCAAUGCUAAGGCUAAUGCCACAUUGGGUGGAUUCUCAGCAGUUUCGCAUCAAAUUUCGCUUAGUGUGGCUGCAGUCAGGCCCAUGCAAUGUCUCAGGGUGCCGACGCAACUAUCAGAUAUUUCCAGCGUAGGGGCAGAUUCUUGGCCUGCCGGUGUGGCACUAGCAUUACACUGAGUUUCUGGAAAGCUACAAUGCAUGUAUUAAUGGCUUUAUAUACAGUGUAAAGAGUUUUAUUC
This is a long non-coding RNA of Xenopus tropicalis (tropical clawed frog), 776 nucleotides long. RefSeq lists it as uncharacterized. The transcript is spliced from 3 exons. NCBI's taxonomy places the organism in Eukaryota, Metazoa, Chordata, Amphibia, Anura, Pipidae. The record is from RefSeq and is a predicted model, not a curated record.